AGCGAACGCUGGCGGCAGGCCUAACACAUGCAAGUCGAACGAACUCUUCGGAGUUAGUGGCGGACGGGUGAGUAACACGUGGGAACGUGCCUUUUGGUUCGGAAUAACUCAGGGAAACUUGUGCUAAUACCGAAUGUGCCCUUCGGGGGAAAGAUUUAUCGCCAUUAGAGCGGCCCGCGUCUGAUUAGCUAGUUGGUGAGGUAACGGCUCACCAAGGCGACGAUCAGUAGCUGGUCUGAGAGGAUGACCAGCCACACUGGGACUGAGACACGGCCCAGACUCCUACGGGAGGCAGCAGUGGGGAAUCUUGCGCAAUGGGCGAAAGCCUGACGCAGCCAUGCCGCGUGAAUGAUGAAGGUCUUAGGAUUGUAAAAUUCUUUCACCGGGGACGAUAAUGACGGUACCCGGAGAAGAAGCCCCGGCUAACUUGGUG
RNAcentral lists this ribosomal RNA (433 nucleotides) under uncultured bacterium. RNAcentral's name for it is "partial 16S ribosomal RNA". It matches the Rfam family "Bacterial small subunit ribosomal RNA", at positions 29 to 507 of the family's 1533-position model. The record is from RNAcentral.